This 225-nucleotide ribosomal RNA is filed under the name Triticum aestivum (bread wheat). RNAcentral's name for it is "partial small subunit ribosomal RNA". The record is from RNAcentral. Lineage: Eukaryota; Viridiplantae; Streptophyta; Magnoliopsida; Poales; Poaceae.
AUGGUGUUCUUCUGCUUCCUGGUGGACCAGCGGCGGAAGGUGCGGAGCAGCAAGCCGGCGGCGGGGAUCUGCUCGCGCUGCGGCGGCUGCGCCAGCGUGGCGGACAUGGAGACGGCCACGCGGCUCUGCUACCUCCUCACCGUGCACCGCGUCACCUGGCGCGCCAUCAUCUGCACCUUCUGCGGCGCCAUGCUCAAGUCCUACCGCCACUACCGCCUCUACUAG